UCAACAACGGAUCUCUUGGCUCUGGCAUCGAUGAAGAACGCAGCGAAACGCGAUAAGUAAUGUGAAUUGCAGAAUCCAGUGAAUCAUCGAAUCUUUGAACGCACAUUGCGCCCGCCAGCAUUCUGGCGGGCAUGCCUGUUCGAGCGU
RNAcentral lists this ribosomal RNA (147 nucleotides) under Beauveria bassiana. RNAcentral describes it as "5.8S ribosomal RNA". It matches the Rfam family "5.8S ribosomal RNA". From Rfam's summary of the family: 5.8S ribosomal RNA (5.8S rRNA) is a component of the large subunit of the eukaryotic ribosome. The record is from RNAcentral. Lineage: Eukaryota; Fungi; Ascomycota; Sordariomycetes; Hypocreales; Cordycipitaceae.